RNAcentral lists this ribosomal RNA (292 nucleotides) under uncultured bacterium. Its description in RNAcentral is "partial 16S ribosomal RNA". It matches the Rfam family "Bacterial small subunit ribosomal RNA", at positions 773 to 1060 of the family's 1533-position model. The record is from RNAcentral.
GUGGAUUAGAUACCCUGGUAGUCCACGCUGUAAACGAUGUGUGCUAGACGUCGGGAAGCCUAGCUUCUCGGUGUCGCAGCUAACGCGAUAAGCACACCGCCUGGGGAGUACGGCCGCAAGGUUAAAACUCAAAGGAAUUGACGGGGGCCCGCACAAGCGGUGGAGCAUGUGGUUUAAUUCGAUGCAACGCGCAGAACCUUACCAGCCCUUGACAUGGGGAGUAUGGGAACGAGAGAUCGAUCCCUUCAGUUCGGCUGGCUCCCACACAGGUGCUGCAUGGUUGUCGUCAACU